This is a non-coding RNA of Cordylochernes scorpioides, 67 nucleotides long. The record is from the annotation of a GenBank genome assembly. Lineage: Eukaryota; Metazoa; Arthropoda; Arachnida; Pseudoscorpiones; Chernetidae.
UGCAUCGGCUGGGAAUCGAACCCGGCAGGCGUGGCAGGCGAGCAUUCUACCACUGAACCACCGAUGG